Molecule: ribosomal RNA, 1372 nt
Filed under: uncultured bacterium
Lineage: Bacteria
Description: bacterial SSU rRNA
Rfam family: Bacterial small subunit ribosomal RNA
Source: RNAcentral
GAUGAACGCUGGCGGCGUGCCUAAUACAUGCAAGUCGAGCGAACGGACGAGAAGCUUGCUUCUCUGAUGUUAGCGGCGGACGGGUGAGUAACACGUGGAUAACCUACCUAUAAGACUGGGAUAACUUCGGGAAACCGGAGCUAAUACCGGAUAAUAUUUUGAACCGCAUGGUUCAAAAGUGAAAGACGGUCUUGCUGUCACUUAUAGAUGGAUCCGCGCUGCAUUAGCUAGUUGGUAAGGUAACGGCUUACCAAGGCAACGAUGCAUAGCCGACCUGAGAGGGUGAUCGGCCACACUGGAACUGAGACACGGUCCAGACUCCUACGGGAGGCAGCAGUAGGGAAUCUUCCGCAAUGGGCGAAAGCCUGACGGAGCAACGCCGCGUGAGUGAUGAAGGUCUUCGGAUCGUAAAACUCUGUUAUUAGGGAAGAACAUAUGUGUAAGUAACUGUGCACAUCUUGACGGUACCUAAUCAGAAAGCCACGGCUAACUACGUGCCAGCAGCCGCGGUAAUACGUAGGUGGCAAGCGUUAUCCGGAAUUAUUGGGCGUAAAGCGCGCGUAGGCGGUUUUUUAAGUCUGAUGUGAAAGCCCACGGCUCAACCGUGGAGGGUCAUUGGAAACUGGAAAACUUGAGUGCAGAAGAGGAAAGUGGAAUUCCAUGUGUAGCGGUGAAAUGCGCAGAGAUAUGGAGGAACACCAGUGGCGAAGGCGACUUUCUGGUCUGUAACUGACGCUGAUGUGCGAAAGCGUGGGGAUCAAACAGGAUUAGAUACCCUGGUAGUCCACGCCGUAAACGAUGAGUGCUAAGUGUUAGGGGGUUUCCGCCCCUUAGUGCUGCAGCUAACGCAUUAAGCACUCCGCCUGGGGAGUACGACCGCAAGGUUGAAACUCAAAGGAAUUGACGGGGACCCGCACAAGCGGUGGAGCAUGUGGUUUAAUUCGAAGCAACGCGAAGAACCUUACCAAAUCUUGACAUCCUUUGACAACUCUAGAGAUAGAGCCUCCCCCUUCGGGGGACAAAGUGACAGGUGGUGCAUGGUUGUCGUCAGCUCGUGUCGUGAGAUGUUGGGUUAAGUCCCGCAACGAGCGCAACCCUUAAGCUUAGUUGCCAUCAUUAAGUUGGGCACUCUAAGUUGACUGCCGGUGACAAACCGGAGGAAGGUGGGGAUGACGUCAAAUCAUCAUGCCCCUUAUGAUUUGGGCUACACACGUGCUACAAUGGACAAUACAAAGGGUAGCGAAACCGCGAGGUCAAGCAAAUCCCAUAAAGUUGUUCUCAGUUCGGAUUGUAGUCUGCAACUCGACUAUAUGAAGCUGGAAUCGCUAGUAAUCGUAGAUCAGCAUGCUACGGUGAAUACGUUCCCGGGUCU